UGAGGCAAGCAGAAGCACCCGCUUCUCACCUGAUCGACGCAUUUUGCAGUUGGCAGGUUACAACAUCCUUAUUGUAUGGGAAGAUGUGUGGGUGCAGUAUGUACCGACAUUUUUUUUAUGCU
Sediminibacillus halophilus is the source of this 122-nucleotide non-coding RNA. Lineage: Bacteria; Bacillati; Bacillota; Bacilli; Caryophanales; Bacillaceae. The record is from Rfam.